Molecule: ribosomal RNA, 482 nt
Filed under: uncultured bacterium
Lineage: Bacteria
Description: partial 16S ribosomal RNA
Rfam family: Bacterial small subunit ribosomal RNA
Source: RNAcentral
AUUGAACGCUGGCGGCAGGCCUAACACAUGCAAGUCGAGCGGAUGAAGGGAGCUUGCUCCUGGAUUCAGCGGCGGACGGGUGAGUAAUGCCUAGGAAUCUGCCUGGUAGUGGGGGAUAACGUCCGGAAACGGGCGCUAAUACCGCAUACGUCCUGAGGGAGAAAGUGGGGGAUCUUCGGACCUCACGCUAUCAGAUGAGCCUAGGUCGGAUUAGCUAGUUGGUGGGGUAAAGGCCUACCAAGGCGACGAUCCGUAACUGGUCUGAGAGGAUGAUCAGUCACACUGGAACUGAGACACGGUCCAGACUCCUAUGGGAGGCAGCAGUGGGGAAUAUUGGACAAUGGGCGAAAGCCUGAUCCAGCCAUGCCGCGUGUGUGAAGAAGGUCUUCGGAUUGUAAAGCACUUCAAGUUGGGAGGAAGGGCAGUAAGUUAAUACCUUGCUGUUUUGACGUUACCAACAGAAUAAGCACCGGCUAACUUCG